This is a long non-coding RNA of Columba livia (rock pigeon), 3859 nucleotides long. RefSeq lists it as uncharacterized. The record is from RefSeq and is a predicted model, not a curated record. Lineage: Eukaryota; Metazoa; Chordata; Aves; Columbiformes; Columbidae. The transcript is spliced from 2 exons.
GCUUUGUGUUUCCAUGGGUGAGGUGGAGUCUGCUGCUUUCUACCAGUUCAUGUCUGCUUAAAUUUCCAUUUAAGUGAUAUAUUAACCUGGCAUUGUCUCUGCAAAGAAAAAGGCAGGAUGUGCUUGGGGAAAUCUCAGGCAGAGGACAUGUGGGUUUUAAGGAAAAUUAAUCUCUUUACAUGUGACAGCUUCAGUUUUAAAUGGCUUGCCUUUUUGUCUCACAAUCGUGAAGCAUGUGGGAAGAAGGGAACUUGAGGGUAGAGAUUCCCCACUGUAAAUGUACAUUGAAUUAUUGAAACGAUUUUUUUCUGUGAUGGGGAAGGAGUGUAAUUGUCACUCUGCAAUUUUUUCUUUUCGUGUAUCAAAUGCCAUGACUAAUGCUGUGUCAUGGAAGAACAAACAUUCUAUGCUCCUUCCAUAUUUGACUGAAAAUGAGUGUCUCAAGUGGUUUCCAUAAUGACCUACACAGUCUUUCAUUAUUUGGGACUUAUCAUUUAUAAUGUAAUACAAUGCAAAACCCCUAGUACUAAAAAUAUCCCAGAAAUCUAGAAAAACUGUGAAAACAGCUAAAGGACAACCUUUUUUGGAGGUCAUGGCUUCUAAUGAAAGAUGUGAAGAAUAUAAGACCCAUCAGUGUAACCUGAACUAUGUAAGGGCAAUGGUGUAAUAAGCAUUUUCCUGAAUGGAUUGAGGGUCUGGUUGUGGAGCCAUCCCAAAGCAAGUUGUUCAGAGUCUGUCCGCCAACAGCUCCCCAUGGCCUUCUGACCAGAACCAACAGCAGCGAUGGAAAGGAACUAACCGAGGGGAAAACUGACUCCAAGAUAAAGCCACAUUUGCUGAGUGGGACCUACUAGGCAUAGUGUCCAGUGAGAGGUGGUGAAAAUACUAAUGGGUAGGAUUCCUAAAUAUCAAAGGAGAAUGUACAUAGGAGAAUAUCUUAGCUAUCUACAAAUGUCAGUGAAGAUGAAAUGGCACUCUUCCAUUUCUGAUUCUGUUUAGCAUGAAGCAUACUACCUGUUUGGUCCUUCAUGGUUGGAAAAAAAGAAAAGGAGGAAUGUAUUACUCUUUUAUUUUGCUUAAACAGCAAAGACACAAGUAUUGCUCAAAACCGUUGAGCUCUCUUAGCUUUCAUUUUUUGAAUGCUGGUGUAGUUAUUUUAUGAUGGCUUAGUUUACAAGUACCUCUCAGAUCUUUAGAAUAUCUACUUUCAUUUUCUUUGGGACAGUACCAAUAAAGUCAGUGAUGACUUUGCUUUCUCCUCCCCUGGGUGAAACUGAGUUGGAAUAACUCUCACAGAAGGAGGGGCUGUUGACACCUGCUUUAGUUGGCAUGUGUUGAGUGGGAAGGAUGGAGGGAAGGGAAAUUGCAUAGCUUCUGAUUUAUGACAUACUGUAGCACUGUGUUCCAUCUCUGACUAUGACUUUUAGCACCUGGGAAACCUUUCCCAUCUAAUCUACAUCUGCCCUUUGUUUUACUAAUAAUGUCCAAGGGUGGCAUCUCUCCUUUGAGGCUAAAGAAACUUAAUUUUGGCUGCAGAUGCUCUGAAUAUGACAUUGGCAACAUCAUGAAGCCUCUUGGGCCAUGUAGCUUAUUUCAGAUCCUCUCUGUCCCAGCUUAUGUGUUCCCUCUGUUGCCAGAACUUCCUCUGAUGUUAUUUCUUACCCGUCUUUAUAUUCCAACAUGAAAUGCCAACUGUCACGUCUCCAAAGACUUUUGUGCAGGCCUGUCAGUUCUGUCCUUGCCAUAGUGGUUAGUGUCUGGCCUUGUCAUUUAUUUUGACGGAAACGAGGCCUUGUCAGCCUUGCUGCUAACAAUCUUUCUUUUUACUUAUAAGAAACAUUAGAAGCACAGAAAAUGCAGACCAGUCAGAAGGACAAUUUUAGAAAGAUAUCAAAAUCUGUCUUCAGCAAUCAAGCUAUACCCAUAGAGAAAAUUGAGUGAGUUGGUGCUUCGGAGUUUACCAUAAUUUCUUUUGGUGCUGUUAAUACGUGACUGUUUAAAAAUAAGAAUGGAAUUGAAGGAACAUGGGUGGACUUUGGAACAUUUUUGUGAUGUUUUGACCACAGCUAUGAGUCAAAUGAGCAGGCUUUAUUAUGUAGAGGAACACUACCCCAUUUUUCCUUUCCUAAUCCAAACCUGGUUCUAGUAAAGAUAACUGCAGGGCAAUUGCAAUUUCAUUCAGUAAACCAUAACUGCAACAAAGUGCUUAAUAAAUUAAAAUAAAGCUGCUUUUGUGUGUGGCUGAGAGUGCCUAAUUCAAAUCUUUUGUUGUUUAAAGGAAUGUAGAAUUGCCUGGUAACUCUCUUUCCUAAUAUGCUUCUGAAUAUAGCUUAUUACAUGACUUUAUUAACAGGUUUUAUUUAUUACAUGAUUUGGGUUCUUACAUGGAGAGUAGGUACUUUGUUAGUUAAUACACAUAUUGCCCUAGAUUUAUUGUGCCUGUAUAAUAUGUUAUAACAUGUUCAGGGUAUAUAGUCAACCACCUGUAACCCUUCUUUCUUACUUCACUCAUGAGUUGUGUGUUGUUGUUUUCUCCUGCCUUCAUGAAAUGAUGAAUUCUGAGCUUACUGGAGGGGGUGUAGAGCUGGAAGAAAGCUGUAUCUUUAUAGCCUUGUACUUAAGAAUUCAGAAUGUUGCUGUAGUCAAGUAUUUUGACAAAUGCCUCUUUCUUGUGCUUUCAUCAUUUCUCUAGAAGAUAAAUGUGAGGUUCAGCACCUGCAGAAGUUUCUAUUAAAAAUCCUGUUUUGAUCUGUUCAUAACUUUCCAAAACAUUGAUCUUUCAAGCUGAAAUCUACUGCAUGUUUUUUGCACAAAGACUAUGGAAAUGAUGUUAGACAAAAAGCAAAUCUGAGCGAUUUUCUUAUUCGAGUUCAAAGUUGGGUCGUAAAGCAGUGGAGACAACUUGCAACAUCAACAACAGCUUUGGCCCAGGAGCUGCUAAUGAAUGUGCAGUGUGGUUGGUGGUUUGAGAGCCUUGAAGAUGAGGAGCUCAGUGGUGACCAGCAGGAGGUGGGAACACACAGCUGAGAGCAACUGUUGAAGCUGGUCUUCUCACAACUACAUGAGAGUUGCCAAAGAACUUGACAUCAACUGUUCUAUGGUUGUUUGGCAUUUGAAGCAAAUCGGAAAGGUGAAAGAGCUUGAUAAGUGGGUGCCUCAAGAAUAGACCAAAAAUCAAAAAAAUUGUCAUUUUGAAGUGCCGUCUUCUACACAACAACAACAAACCAUUUCUCAAUGGGAUUGUAAUGUGCAACAAAAAGGUGGAUUUGAUACAACAACCAGCAGCGACCAGCUCAGUGGUUGAACCAAGAAGAAUGUCCGAAGUACUUCCCAAAGCCAAGCUUGCACUGAGAAGAGGUCACAGUCACUGUUGGGUGCUCUGGUGCCAGUCUGAAUCCUGGUGCCAGUCUGAAUCCUGCAGCUUUCUGAAUCCUGGUGAAAAUGUUACGUUGGAAAAGCCUGCUCAGCAAAUCAGUGAGAUGCACCGAAAACUGCAACGCCUGCAGCCGACAUCGGUCACCAGAAAGGGCCCAGUUCUUUUCCAUGACAACACCUGACCACAUGUCAUGCAACCAACGCUUCAAAAGUUGAAUGAAUUGGGUUAUGAAGUUUUGUCUCAUCUGCUGUGUUCACCUGACCUCUUACCAACCGACUGCCACCUCUUCAAGCAUCUCAACAAUGUUUUACACAGAAAACACUUUUACAACCAGCAGGAUACCGAAAAUGCUUUCCAAGAGUUUGUCAAAUCCUGAAGCAGGGAUUUUUAUGCUAUAGGAAUAAACAAACUUAUUUCUUGUUUGCAAAAACAUGUUGACUGUAACGGUUCCUAUUUUGAUGAAUAAAGAUGUGUUUGAGCCUA